CCCCAGUAACGGCGAGUGAAGCGGCAACAGCUCAAAUUUGAAAUCUGGCCCCCCCCCCGGGGGGCCCGAGUUGUAAUUUGCAGAGGAUGCUUUGGGCGAGGCGCCUUCCGAGUUCCCUGGAACGGGACGCCACAGAGGGUGAGAGCCCCGUCUGGUCGGACGCCGAGCCUCUGUAAAGCUCCUUCGACGAGUCGAGUAGUUUGGGAAUGCUGCUCAAAAUGGGAGGUAUAUGUCUUCUAAAGCUAAAUACCGGCCAGAGACCGAUAGCGCACAAGUAGAGUGAUCGAAAGAUGAAAAGCACCUUGAAAAGGGGGUUAAACAGUACGUGAAAUUGUUGAAAGGGAAGCGCUCGUGACCAGACUUGGGGCGGGCGGAUCAGCCGGCGUUCUCGCCGGCGCACUCCGCCCGUCCCAGGCCAGCAUCAGUUCGCGCCGGGGGACAAAGGCGGCGGGAACGUGGCUCCCCAGGGAGUGUUAUAGCCCGCCGCGCCAUGCCCCGGGGGCGGACUGAGGGCCGCGCAUCACUGCAAGGAUGCUGGCGUAAUGGUCACCAGCGACCCGUCUUGAAACACGGGCCAAGGAGUCGUCCUCGUAUGCGAGUGUUCGGGUGUCAAACCCCUACGCGGAAUGAAAGUGAACGUGGGUGAGAGCUUCGGCGCAUCAUCGACCGAUCCUGAUGUUCUCGGAUGGAUUUGAGUAGGAGCAUACGGGGCCGGACCCGAAAGAAGGUGAACUAUGCCUGUGUAGGGUGAAGCCAGAGGAAACUCUGGUGGAGGCUCGCAGCGGUUCUGACGUGCAAAUCGAUCGUCAAACAUGGGCAUGGGGGCGAAAGACU
Molecule: ribosomal RNA, 834 nt
Filed under: Aschersonia sp. JZQ-2014a
Lineage: Eukaryota; Fungi; Ascomycota; Sordariomycetes; Hypocreales; Clavicipitaceae
Description: eukaryotic LSU rRNA
Rfam family: Eukaryotic large subunit ribosomal RNA
Source: RNAcentral